RNAcentral lists this small RNA (198 nucleotides) under Arabidopsis thaliana (thale cress). RNAcentral describes it as "ATSL075380". The record is from RNAcentral. Lineage: Eukaryota; Viridiplantae; Streptophyta; Magnoliopsida; Brassicales; Brassicaceae.
GGACUCUUGUUCCUUAGAUCUUCUUCUCUGUACUCAAAUUCAACACCUUUCUCCCUCAAUGCGAUCCUUGUCCUCAUCCCGAACAUACUCGGCCAGAAAUCAAGAAGAAUCACCUCGUUCGCCAUUGUUACGAUCGCUAAAGCUCACAAAGAGAUUUUUUUUUGUAAGUGUUCGUCUUUCUCGAUUUGUUUGGUUGGG